Long non-coding RNA from Silurus meridionalis, 277 nucleotides. RefSeq lists it as uncharacterized. The record is from RefSeq and is a predicted model, not a curated record. The transcript has 2 exons. Lineage: Eukaryota; Metazoa; Chordata; Actinopteri; Siluriformes; Siluridae.
CUAACACACACACACACACACACACACACACACACACACACACACACACUUGUGUAUGAGUUCUAGUGUCCUGGAUGUUAACUUUCCCAGUCAGUGUUGUGUUGUACCUGAGCGAUGUGUGGUGAUGAAGUCAGCAGCGCGCGCUACAGCCCGCCUCCCGCUUCAAAACUACUGCACCCGGAAGUGUUCCAGCAACACUUCCGGGUUUCACCGAAAGUUAAAAAAAACUUUUCUGAUUAUUUGUUAAAAAUUUACAGUAAUAAAAUAAUAAUAAUAA